Molecule: non-coding RNA, 29 nt
Filed under: Cricetulus griseus (Chinese hamster)
Lineage: Eukaryota; Metazoa; Chordata; Mammalia; Rodentia; Cricetidae
Source: RNAcentral
UCUGAAUUUGAGGACAGCAAGUUCCAGUG